RNAcentral lists this ribosomal RNA (423 nucleotides) under uncultured bacterium. Its description in RNAcentral is "partial 16S ribosomal RNA". It matches the Rfam family "Bacterial small subunit ribosomal RNA", at positions 359 to 774 of the family's 1533-position model. The record is from RNAcentral.
GAAUCUUCCACAAUGGACGAAAGUCUGAUGGAGCAAUGCCGCGUGAGUGUAGCAGGUUUUCGGAUCGUAAAACUCUGUUGUGAGGUAAGAAUAAGUACGAGAGUAACUGCUCGUCCCUUGAAGGUCCCUCAAUAGCAAGCCACGGCUAACUACGUGCCAGCAGCCGCGGUAAUACGUAGUUGGCAAGCGUUGUCCUGAAUUCUGGGGCGUAAAGCGCGCGCAGGCGGGCCUUUAAGUCUAAUAUGAAAUCCCACGGCUCAACCGUGGAAGGUCAUUGGAAACUGGGGGAGUUGAGUACAGAAGAGGAAAGCGGAAUUCCAAGUGUAGCGGAGAAAUGCGUAGAGAUUUGGAGGAAAACCAGUGGCGAAGGCGGCUUUCUGGUCUGUAACUGACGCUGAGGCGCGAAAGCGUGGGGAGCAAACA